CGUGGAUGUAUACCGGUCACCCUAGUCAGAAAGAGAUGACGAAAGAAUGGUUUGUAAAAACAAAGGAAUUUGUGAAAGCCGCGUUCGCAAAUGGCCAAGAAAGAAACUAUUGCCCCUGUCCUGGAUGUGACAACUAUAAAAAGACGACAGAGGCUGUAACGAUUAAACACCUGUAGAGGAGGGGUUUUAAGCCUAAUUAUAUAGUGUGGACAUUUCAUGGUGAGACUAUACAACGCACAAGAGCUGAGGUGGUCCGUCGUCGCAUGGACGAGCAUGGUACCGGGAUCAAA
RNAcentral lists this long non-coding RNA (290 nucleotides) under Hordeum vulgare. RNAcentral describes it as "long non-coding RNA (HVUL_LNC015463)". The record is from RNAcentral. Lineage: Eukaryota; Viridiplantae; Streptophyta; Magnoliopsida; Poales; Poaceae.